GUGAAUCAUCGAAUCUUUGAACGCACAUUGCGCCCAUUAGUAUUCUAGUGGGCAUGCCUGUUCGAGCGUCAUUUAGUCCACUUAAGCCUUUUGCUUAGUAUUGGGAAUCUACUUCCGACUACUCUGUAGUUUUGUAGUUCCUCAAAGACAGCGGCGGAGUCGUGGUUUUACUCUGAGCUUAGUAAUUUUUUUCUAGCUUUCGAGUCGCCAUUGCCCCCUUGCCGUAAAACACCCUUUAUUUUUUAACGGUUGACCUCGGAUCAGGUAGGAAUACCCGCUGAACUUAAGCAUAUCAAUAAG
This 300-nucleotide unclassified non-coding RNA is filed under the name uncultured Ascomycota. Its description in RNAcentral is "sequence contains 5.8S rRNA gene, ITS2". The stretch from base 1 to 71 matches the Rfam family "5.8S ribosomal RNA", at positions 84 to 154 of the family's 154-position model. Lineage: Eukaryota; Fungi; Ascomycota. The record is from RNAcentral.